This 316-nucleotide ribosomal RNA is filed under the name uncultured bacterium. RNAcentral describes it as "bacterial SSU rRNA". It matches the Rfam family "Bacterial small subunit ribosomal RNA", at positions 28 to 334 of the family's 1533-position model. The record is from RNAcentral.
GAUGAACGCUGGCGGCGUGCCUAACACAUGCAAGUCGAGCGAAGCACUCUGACUUCUUCGGAAAGAAGAGUGAUUGAGCGGCGGACGGGUGAGUAACGCGUGGGUAACCUGCCUCAUACAGGGGGAUAACAGUUAGAAAUGACUGCUAAUACCGCAUAAGACCACAGCACCGCAUGGUGCAGGGGUAAAAACUCCGGUGGUAUGAGAUGGACCCGCGUCUGAUUAGCUAGUUGGUGAGGUAACGGCCCACCAAGGCGACGAUCAGUAGCCGACCUGAGAGGGUGACCGGCCACAUUGGGACUGAGGCACGGCCCAA